UUGCUUCAGCAGCACAUAUACUAAAGUUGGAACGAUAACAAAGAUCAGCAUGGCUCCUGCACAAGGAUAACAAGCACAUUUGUGAAACGUUCCAUAUUUUU
Molecule: small nuclear RNA, 101 nt
Filed under: Zalophus californianus (California sea lion)
Lineage: Eukaryota; Metazoa; Chordata; Mammalia; Carnivora; Otariidae
Source: RNAcentral